Molecule: microRNA, 22 nt
Filed under: Petromyzon marinus (sea lamprey)
Lineage: Eukaryota; Metazoa; Chordata; Hyperoartia; Petromyzontiformes; Petromyzontidae
Description: pma-miR-4560
Source: miRBase by way of RNAcentral
UCUCUGUCCACACAAACACCUG